UACGUAGGGAGCAAGCGUUGUUCGGAGUUAUUGGGCGUAAAGCGCGCGCAGGCGGCUUCGCGCGUCCGACGUGAAAGCCCCCGGCUCAACCGGGGAGGGUCGUUGGGUACGGCGGAGCUUGAGGGCGGUAGAGGUUGGUGGAAUUCCCGGUGUAGUGGUGAAAUGCGUAGAGAUCGGGAGGAACACCUGUGGCGAAGGCGGCCAACUGGGCCGACCCUGACGCUGAGGCGCGAAGGCGUGGGGAGCGAACGGG
Molecule: ribosomal RNA, 253 nt
Filed under: uncultured bacterium
Lineage: Bacteria
Description: partial 16S ribosomal RNA
Rfam family: Bacterial small subunit ribosomal RNA
Source: RNAcentral